UAUUAUUAUUAUUAUACCUUAUAGGAUCAUAUACUACUGAUAGGCUGGUAUUCAGUGACAGUAUUGGAUGCUACUGAUGGUUCAAUACUAGUCCAACACAUACUCUCCUCUCCUCCUUUAUCCAAACCAGUCAUUAGUGACUUCACUGAUGAUUCAUCCAAUGACAUUAUAAUACAAACACAGCAUGGUCUGAUAGGAUUAUCACUGGUCCAUAGAUCAGGAUUCCUCCACUCCACUAUAUUGUCAUUGUUCAUUGGAUUCAUUAUUGUCCUGGUGGCUGUGUACACUAGACAGAGAACUGGUUUCCUCAUGCCUAAAAUAAAGGAGGCACAGGAUUAAUGACUUGUAACUGAGAAUUGAUCUGUGUGUGUAUGUGUGUACAUUUUUUUUAUAAUUAUUGAUUUGGCAUGAUUUACUUUUUGCUUUCAUUUAAUGCUGUGUUUACAC
Amphimedon queenslandica is the source of this 447-nucleotide long non-coding RNA. RefSeq lists it as uncharacterized. Lineage: Eukaryota; Metazoa; Porifera; Demospongiae; Haplosclerida; Niphatidae. The transcript has 2 exons. The record is from RefSeq and is a predicted model, not a curated record.